UACGUAGGGUCCGAGCGUUGUCCGGAAUUACUGGGCGUAAAGAGCUCGUAGGUGGUUUGUCGCGUUGUUCGUGAAAACUCACAACUCAAUUGUGGGCGUGCGGGCGAUACGGGCAGACUUGAGUACUGCAGGGGAGACUGGAAUUCCUGGUGUAGCGGUGGAAUGCGCAGAUAUCAGGAGGAACACCGGUGGCGAAGGCGGGUCUCUGGGCCGAUACUGACGCUGAGGAGCGAAAGCGUGGGGAGCGAACAGG
RNAcentral lists this ribosomal RNA (253 nucleotides) under uncultured bacterium. RNAcentral's name for it is "partial 16S ribosomal RNA". It matches the Rfam family "Bacterial small subunit ribosomal RNA", at positions 524 to 776 of the family's 1533-position model. The record is from RNAcentral.